UGGUUGAUCCUGCCAGUAGUCAUAUGCUUGUCUCAAAGAUUAAGCCAUGCAUGUCUAAGUACAAGCCUUAUUAAGGUGAAACCGCGAAUGGCUCAUUAAAUCAGCUAUGAUUUAUUAGAUGUUGAACGUAUCUACAUGGAUAACUGUGGUAAUUCUAGAGCUAAUACAUGCAGAAAGACUUUGACCUGGAGACGGGAAAAAGUGCGUUUAUUAGACCAAGACCAAUGGGUUUAGUUGCAUCGCAAGGUGUGAUUUGCCCUAUUUGUUAUGGUGACUCUGGAUAACUGUAGCUGAUCGCAGGGCCUUGUGCCGGCGACAUAUCUUUCAAGUGUCUGCCUUAUCAACUGUCGAUGGUAGGUUAAAUGCCUACCAUGGUUGUAACGGGUAACGGGGAAUCAGGGUUCGAUUCCGGAGAGGGAGCCUGAGAAACGGCUACCACAUCCAAGGAAGGCAGCAGGCACGCAAAUUACCCACUCCCAGUUCGGGGAGGUAGUGACGAAAAAUAACAAAACGGGACUCUAAUGAGGCCCCGUUAUUGGAAUGAGAACAAUCUAAAUCCUUUAUCGAGGAUCUAUUGGAGGGCAAGUCUGGU
RNAcentral lists this ribosomal RNA (592 nucleotides) under uncultured eukaryote. Its description in RNAcentral is "bacterial SSU rRNA". It matches the Rfam family "Eukaryotic small subunit ribosomal RNA", at positions 5 to 565 of the family's 1831-position model. The record is from RNAcentral.